UACAGAGGGUGCGAGCGUUAAUCGGAAUUACUGGGCGUAAAGCGUGCGCAGGCGGUUAUGCAAGACAGAUGUGAAAUCCCCGGGCUCAACCUGGGAACUGCAUUUGUGACUGCAUGGCUGGAGUGCGGCAGAGGGGGAUGGAAUUCCGCGUGUAGCAGUGAAAUGCGUAGAUAUGCGGAGGAACACCGAUGGCGAAGGCAAUCCCCUGGGCCUGCACUGACGCUCAUGCACGAAAGCGUGGGGAGCAAACAGG
Molecule: ribosomal RNA, 253 nt
Filed under: uncultured bacterium
Lineage: Bacteria
Description: partial 16S ribosomal RNA
Rfam family: Bacterial small subunit ribosomal RNA
Source: RNAcentral